GACGAACGCUGGCGGCGUGCCUAAUACAUGCAAGUAGAACGCUGAAGGAGGAGCUUGCUUCUCUGGAUGAGUUGCGAACGGGUGAGUAACGCGUAGGUAACCUGCCUGGUAGCGGGGGAUAACUAUUGGAAACGAUAGCUAAUACCGCAUAAUAGUAGAUGUUGCAUGACAUUUGCUUAAAAGGUGCAAUUGCAUCACUACCAGAUGGACCUGCGUUGUAUUAGCUAGUUGGUGAGGUAACGGCUCACCAAGGCAACGAUACAUAGCCGACCUGAGAGGGUGAUCGGCCACACUGGGACUGAGACACGGCCCAGACUCCUACGGGAGGCAGCAGUAGGGAAUCUUCGGCAAUGGACGGAAGUCUGACCGAGCAACGCCGCAUGAGUGAAGAAGGUUUUCGGAUCGUAAAGCUCUGUUGUAAGAGAAGAACGAGUGUGAGAGUGGAAAGUUCACACUGUGACGGUAUCUUACCAGAAAGGGACGGCUAACUACGUG
Molecule: ribosomal RNA, 495 nt
Filed under: uncultured bacterium
Lineage: Bacteria
Description: partial 16S ribosomal RNA
Rfam family: Bacterial small subunit ribosomal RNA
Source: RNAcentral